RNAcentral lists this long non-coding RNA (2113 nucleotides) under Canis lupus familiaris (dog). RNAcentral's name for it is "lncRNA (ENSCAFG00000054430.1)". Lineage: Eukaryota; Metazoa; Chordata; Mammalia; Carnivora; Canidae. The record is from RNAcentral.
GGUUUAAGAUAUCUCCUGAUACAUAAUAAAGUUCUCCAAAUACUCUUGUAUGUUUCUGACCUUCUUGAUGACAUGGCUCCCUCUUACUACUGAGUUUUGUGCCUGUACUGUAUGAUUAUGAUUUUUUACCUGGGGAACAGAAAUAUUUGCAAAUGACAUAUCUAAUGAAGGAUUAGUAUCCAAAAUAUAUAUAGAACCUAUACAACUCAACACCAAAAAAAAUCCAAAUAAUUCAAUUUUAAAAAGGGCAGAAAACAUGAACAGAUAUUUUUCCAAAGAAAACAUCCAAAUAGCCAACAGACACAUGAAAAGGUGCUCAACAUUACUUAUCAUCAGGGAGAUGCAAAUCAAAACAAUGAGAGAUCACAUCACACCUACUAGAAUGGCUAAAGUCAAAAACAUAAGAAACAACAAGUGUUGGUGAGGCUGUGGAGAAAAAGGAACCCUGGGGCACUGUUGGUGGGAAUGCAAACUGGUGGAGCUACUGUGGAAAACAGUAUGGAGGUUUCUCAAAAAAUUAAAAUUAGAAUUACCAUAUGAUCCAGUAAUUCCACUAUUGGGUAUUUACCUAAAGAAUAUGAAAACAUUAAUUUGAAAAGGUAUAUGCACCCCUGUUUCCUGUGGCAUUAUUUAUAAUAGCCAAAUUAUGGAAGCAACUCAGUGUUCAUGGAUAGAUGAAUGGAUAAAGAAGAUGUGGUAUAUAUGUUUAGUGGAAUACUAGUCAGCCAUAAAAAAGAAUAAAAUCUUGCCAUUUGCAACAAUGUGGAUGGAUCUAGAGAGCACAAUGCUAAGUGAAAUAAGUCAGUCAGAUAAAGAAAAAUACCAUGAUUUCACUCAUAUGUGGAAUUUAAGAAACAAAACAAAGAAAAAAGAGACAAAAACACAGACUUUUAACUGGGUGGUUAAGGGGGGUGAAAUAGGUGAACACGAUGAAGAGUACACUUACAGUCAUAAGUACUGAGUAAUGUAUAUAAUUAAUGAAUCACUAGAUUAUAUACCUAAAACUAUUAUAAUAUUGUGUGUUAAUUAUACUGGAAUUAAAAUUUUAAAAAUAAGAAUUUUAAAAAUGAUUAAAAAUUACUUUUUAAAAAAUGAGAUAGGGUUGUUAAACUAAGGUAGGAAACAAAAGAAACAAGGAGAGGACAAGAGAUUAUUACAGCAUGAACAACAGAUUCAUUUCAGUGUAUGUCAUCUAUAUCACUCAAUAUUUUGUCAGCAGCUAUACAAAAGCUUAUGUGUUCUAGAAGAGAGAGCAAAGCCCCCUAAGUUGGUUUAUAGAUUCAGAAUCUGAUUUUAUUUACUACCUGUGCAUUCUUGGACAAAGUACAUAACUUCUCUGAUCCUUUACUGUAAAAUGAAGAUAAUAUCUACAACACAAGGUUCUUAUAAGGUCCAAAUGUAGAUGACAGGUAUUUUUCAAUCUUUUUUAAGGCAGGGCAGAGGCAGAGAGUCUCAAGCAGACUCUACGCCCAGCACAGAGCCCAACAUAGGGCUCAGUCUCACAACCCUGAGAUCAUGACCUGAGCCAAAAUCAAGAGUUGGAUGUUUAAAUGACAGAGCUACCCGGGCGCCCCAGUAUUUCUCAUUUUUUAAAGAAAAAUGCUGAUAAUUCCCAAGGCAUUGUGGAAAAAAAGUAACAACUGAUUCAUUGGGAAGAUGCUGAAGAUGUUUGCCAUGUCUUUUUCAGUAAUUUCUGCCAUAAAGAUUAUCCACUUUUAGGACAAAUGGGUAUUAUGUAACCUGCCAGCUAUGCUGAAGAAAGCUACAAAACACACAAAGGUCUUGUUUAGCUUUCAGUAUCAUUAAGGGAAUUCAAAAUUUUGCAGUUAACUUUGAUUCUAUUUAGUCAAUUUGACUAAAGUAUACAACAGACAAAAGUCUAACUUUGUUAUCUUGUGCCUUUUGACCACCACCAUCAUGGCUUCACCUGUACACUGAGAACUCAAGAGUAGAAGAGAAAAAAUCCCCCACCACAGUUGUAAACAGAUGGGAUCAAAACAGAGUCAUCCUUAAAAAUACUUCAACAAGUUACCUUUGUAGACACUCUCCUCUGAUUGCAGAAGCUGUGGUCUCUGCCUUUAAAAAGAUGGAAGCAAAAAAAAAAAAAAAAAAA